This is a long non-coding RNA of Sphaeramia orbicularis (orbiculate cardinalfish), 496 nucleotides long. RefSeq lists it as uncharacterized. The record is from RefSeq and is a predicted model, not a curated record. Lineage: Eukaryota; Metazoa; Chordata; Actinopteri; Kurtiformes; Apogonidae. The transcript is spliced from 3 exons.
GUGUGUCAUUUCUGUCUCAGUCUUUGUCCGCGGUGGCCUGCAUACCUAAGGGACUCCCUCUCCGGUUAUCUCCUGUCCCAGUUGAAGUCGAAACUCCGCACUCAUUCUCUCAUUUCACUACAUGGAAUGCACUGGACUUUAUCCGACCUCAUGCACGGCAUGCAAGUGACGACAACAAUCAUUUGUAAACUUCAGACAAGGCCUAUAUUUACACACCUUGUGCCGUGUCAGAGGGUUAGACUUGCUCUGGAGGACAGACACUGAAUAUUGAACAACUGGUUGAACCAAGGCGUGAUAACCAUGGGAAAAGGAGCAGGAAGGCAGCCCGUUGGACUGGUAGAGUCAGCUCACACAAAGCUGUCAGAGGAAGUGAGCAGCUACUGUACCCAAUGAGACUAACAACGCACCAGCACAGACCUGGUGGACUGGACAUGUCAGACUGUGUGGGUAACAGAUAUGAUGUUUUAGGCAUCAGAGUGGGAAUUGUACUAAUAAA